CUGCUGCCUCCCGUAGGAGUCUGGGCCGUGUCUCAGUCCCAGUGUGGCUGGUCGUCCUCUCAGACCAGCUACUGAUCGUUGCUUUGGUGAGCCGUUACCUCACCAACCGGCUAAUCAGUCAUCGGCCGCUCCGCUCGCGAGAGGCCCUUGCGGUCCCCCUCUUUCUUCCGUAGAACUCAUGCGGUAUUAGCCAACCUUUCGGCUGGUUGUCCCCCACGAGCGGACACGUUCCGAUGUAUUACUCACCCGUUCGCCA
This 256-nucleotide ribosomal RNA is filed under the name uncultured bacterium. RNAcentral's name for it is "partial 16S ribosomal RNA". The record is from RNAcentral.